RNAcentral lists this ribosomal RNA (460 nucleotides) under uncultured bacterium. RNAcentral describes it as "partial 16S ribosomal RNA". It matches the Rfam family "Bacterial small subunit ribosomal RNA", at positions 338 to 795 of the family's 1533-position model. The record is from RNAcentral.
CCUACGGGUGGCAGCAGUGAGGAAUAUUGGUCAAUGGCCGGAAGCCUGAACCAGCCAUGCCGCGUGCAGGAAGAAGGCUCUAUGGGUUGUAAACUUCUUUUGUACAGGGGUAAACCUCAACACGUGUAUUUAGUUGAAAGUACUCUACGAAUAAGGAUCGGCUAACUCCGUGCCAGCAGCCGCGGUAAUACGGAGGAUCCGAGCGUUAUCCGGAUUUAUUGGGUUUAAAGGGUGCGUAGGUUGUUUUAUAAGUUAGAGGUGAAAGGUCGGGGCUCAACCAGGGAACUGCCUCUAAUACUGUAGGACUAGAGAGUGGGUGCGGUAGGCGGAAUGCGUGGUGUAGCGGUGAAAUGCAUAGAUAUCACGCAGAACACCGAUUGCGAAGGCAGCUUACUAAGCCAUAACUGACGCUGAGGCACGAAAGCGUGGGGAUCAAACAGGAUUAGAUACCCCUGUAGUC